AUUGAACGCUGGCAGCAGGCCUAACACAUGCAAGUCGAGCGGAUUAAGGGAGCUUGCUCCUGGAUUCAGCGGCGGACGGGUGAGUAAUGCCUAGGAAUCUGCCUGGUAGUGGGGGAUAACGUCCGGAAACGGGCGCUAAUACCGCAUACGUCCUGAGGGAGAAAGUGGGGGAUCUUCGGACCUCACGCUAUCAGAUGAGCCUAGGUCGGAUUAGCUAGUUGGUGGGGUAAAGGCCUACCAAGGCGACGAUCCGUAACUGGUCUGAGAGGAUGAUCAGUCACACUGGAACUGAGACACGGUCCAGACUCCUACGGGAGGCAGCAGUGGGGAAUAUUGGACAAUGGGCGAAAGCCUGAUCCAGCCAUGCCGCGUGUGUGAAGAAGGUCUUCGGAUUGUAAAGCACUUUAAGUUGGGAGGAAGGGCAGUAAGUUAAUACCUUGCUGUUUUGACGUUACCAACAGAAUAAGCACCGGCUAACUUCGUG
This 484-nucleotide ribosomal RNA is filed under the name uncultured bacterium. RNAcentral describes it as "partial 16S ribosomal RNA". It matches the Rfam family "Bacterial small subunit ribosomal RNA", at positions 30 to 507 of the family's 1533-position model. The record is from RNAcentral.